Molecule: ribosomal RNA, 253 nt
Filed under: uncultured bacterium
Lineage: Bacteria
Description: partial 16S ribosomal RNA
Rfam family: Bacterial small subunit ribosomal RNA
Source: RNAcentral
UACAGAGGUCCCAAGCGUUGUUCGGAUUCACUGGGCGUAAAGGGUGCGUAGGUGGCGAGGAAAGUCGGAUGUGAAAGCUCGGAGCUCAACUCCGAAAUGGCAUUGGAAACUACCUUGCUCGAGGGUUGGAGGGGGGACUGGAAUUCUCGGUGUAGCAGUGAAAUGCGUAGAUAUCGAGAGGAACACCAGUGGCGGAGGCGAGUCCCUGGACAACUCCUGACACUGAGGCACGAAAGCUAGGGGAGCAAACAGG